This 524-nucleotide long non-coding RNA is filed under the name Phoenix dactylifera (date palm). RNAcentral's name for it is "long non-coding RNA (PDAC_LNC022551)". Lineage: Eukaryota; Viridiplantae; Streptophyta; Magnoliopsida; Arecales; Arecaceae. The record is from RNAcentral.
AAUAAAAUUUCAUAUUUGUUUGCCAGUGAAUAAGAACUACGUACAGCUACAUUUGAUAGCACUAUUAAAACGAUAUUAAUUAUAUAUCUCUAUCAAUUAAUAUCCUUGUUAGGAAGAUGUCUCUAAAACCUUCUUCAUUUGCAAUAAUUCAUCUUAUAAUUAAUUUAACCACAAAACAAAAUAUUGGAAAAAAAAUCUUGACAUGCAACCUGAUUUGCAGAAUUUUAAUCACCUUACAACAAUCCAAAUACCAAAAAGUAAUCACCUUAAUAUAUCUCAGGAUAAUCUGAAUCUCGUACUCUCUUUCUCGGGAUGGUCGAGAUAAAAUAUCAUAUGGUAAGAGGGGGGUGGGGGAGGAAAUAUCAACAUUUAGACGAAUUUUUCCUUCAGGCAUAAAGCCUAUUAGCAAUCUCAAUCACCAAAAAACAGUCCCCUUUGUCCAGUUCACUUAAGCAACUUUGCUACUUUAGACGUCCAACUCCAUUUCAAUUCUCAAUCCAAUUCCAUGGUACCAUCCAUUACAU